Transfer RNA from Leptospira biflexa serovar Patoc, 73 nucleotides. It matches the Rfam family "tRNA". Rfam says of the family: Transfer RNA (tRNA) molecules are approximately 80 nucleotides in length. Their secondary structure includes four short double-helical elements and three loops (D, anti-codon, and T loops). The record is from Rfam. Lineage: Bacteria; Pseudomonadati; Spirochaetota; Leptospiria; Leptospirales; Leptospiraceae.
GCUCCCAUAGCUCAGGUGGAUAGAGCACUAGUUUCCUAAACUGGGGACACAGGUUCGAAUCCUGUUGGGGGCA